RNAcentral lists this long non-coding RNA (476 nucleotides) under Nicotiana benthamiana. Its description in RNAcentral is "long non-coding RNA (NBEN_LNC013246)". Lineage: Eukaryota; Viridiplantae; Streptophyta; Magnoliopsida; Solanales; Solanaceae. The record is from RNAcentral.
GAUCGUGUUCGAGGGUCAAAUUUGAUAGUUGAGAACAAACAAAGACUCGAUGAGGCAUAUUGCACUGUUUAGUAAAAUGGACAUAACUUUUUCCUCAGAACUCCGUUUGGGCUCCAUAAUAUAAGGUUGGAAAGAUAACUCAAAUAGCUACAUCUUUCAUAUUUUAUAUGUUUUCAAACUCUAAACAGAACAGGUGAAAAAUUGCAGUUUUACCACCACCGUGGUAGAACUGCUGCAGAAGGCAGUCGUGGACGAAUGAAGAAUCUGAGAGGAUGUUUUGCCGGGGUUUGACCACUACCAUGGUAGAAUCGCGGCCAUCCAGGCCUAAAACUUGUCCUUUUUCACGGAAGAGAAGGUAUAAGUGUUUGGGCCCGACUCUACUUGGUAUACACGGAAAAAUAGUAUUUUUGAGGAGGGGACAUAUUUUUGACACCUGUUGGACCUAAGGAGGCAGAGACACAAUAGGGGCAAGGCUU